This 492-nucleotide ribosomal RNA is filed under the name uncultured bacterium. Its description in RNAcentral is "partial 16S ribosomal RNA". It matches the Rfam family "Bacterial small subunit ribosomal RNA", at positions 29 to 507 of the family's 1533-position model. The record is from RNAcentral.
AGUGAACGCUGGCGGUAGGCCUAACACAUGCAAGUCGAACGGCAGCACAGUAAGAGCUUGCUCUUACGGGUGGCGAGUGGCGGACGGGUGAGGAAUACAUCGGAAUCUACUUUUUCGUGGGGGAUAACGUAGGGAAACUUACGCUAAUACCGCAUACGACCUACGGGUGAAAGCAGGGGAUCUUCGGACCUUGCGCGAUUGAAUGAGCCGAUGUCGGAUUAGCUAGUUGGCGGGGUAAAGGCCCACCAAGGCGACGAUCCGUAGCUGGUCUGAGAGGAUGAUCAGCCACACUGGAACUGAGACACGGUACAGACUCCUACGGGAGGCAGCAGUGGGGAAUAUUGGACAAUGGGCGCAAGCCUGGUCCAGCCAUACCGCGUGGGUGAAGAAGGCCUUCGGGUUGUAAAGCCCUUUUGUUGGGAAAGAAAAGCAGCAGGUUAAUACCCCGCUGUUCUGACGGUACCCAAAGAAUAAGCACCGGCUAACUUCGUG